Molecule: transfer RNA, 64 nt
Filed under: Cordylochernes scorpioides
Lineage: Eukaryota; Metazoa; Arthropoda; Arachnida; Pseudoscorpiones; Chernetidae
Description: tRNA-Thr
Source: RNAcentral
UGUCUGUGUGAAUCGAACCCACGACCUUCCGCUUACCGGGCAGAUGCCAUGACCACUAGGCCAC